GCCGGGUAUGGUGGAGCACACCUGCAAUCCCAGCUACUCAGGAGGCUGAGGCAGGAGGGAUCACAAGUUCAAGACCAGCCUCAG
Molecule: small RNA, 84 nt
Filed under: Marmota monax (woodchuck)
Lineage: Eukaryota; Metazoa; Chordata; Mammalia; Rodentia; Sciuridae
Source: RNAcentral